Thrips palmi is the source of this 277-nucleotide long non-coding RNA. RefSeq lists it as uncharacterized. Lineage: Eukaryota; Metazoa; Arthropoda; Insecta; Thysanoptera; Thripidae. The transcript has 3 exons. The record is from RefSeq and is a predicted model, not a curated record.
UGAGUGUGAGCCAGGUGUGAGCAAAAGGUGGCAACACUGAUCGAGCGGAAGUUCCGUUCCGCCGCCAGCCGCCAUCAUGCAGAUGCAGCCAGCCACUUCACUUGCGACUUCAGACCUGUCCACAUCGUCCAUGAGAGAAUGGCUUCGUUACUACUUCAUGCAUAGUCUUUGCUCUGAGACCACGCACUGAGCUUGCGGUUCCAUCUCAUCAAACGUUUCUGGCCUCAGGUUGCUCUGCUGAGUUCCACUGCUGCUUCACUUCAUUGCUAUUAGGUAA